Molecule: long non-coding RNA, 1803 nt
Filed under: Cricetulus griseus (Chinese hamster)
Lineage: Eukaryota; Metazoa; Chordata; Mammalia; Rodentia; Cricetidae
Description: lncRNA (ENSCGRG00015036065.1)
Source: RNAcentral
ACGCGGGGCUCCAGCUUGCCGCGGCCAGCCGGCCGCCUGCUCGCACCCCGCCCGGGCCGCCCCCCGCCAUGAGCGCCGCGCGCUGGCUGCAGGCAGAGUCGCUGCCGCCCGGCCGCCGCUGGCUCCAGUCCGCCGCCAUUAUUCUUUGUUCGCUGCGAGCGGCGGCGGUGUUGUGGGGCUCGGGCGGAGGCUCCAUCUUUACCGCGGCCCCUCCUGCGAGGGGAAGGCCCCGAGCGCGGGUGUCCGGCGCCUCCCCGGCCCCCCUCCGUCCCCCCGGCUCUCUCCGGCUCCUGCCUCCUCCUCCUGCUCCUCUUACCGGUGGUACAAGCUCCUCCGUCACUGCUUUCGUUCGCGGCCCGGAUCUCGCUGGAGUUUUAUUCUCUCCCCCACGUAACACACCGCGUCAAACUACACCUCCGCCGCGUCACUCACCAACACUCCGCUUCUCCCAGCCGCCCGGGCCACAGGCAGCAGCAGCCGCCGCCGACUGAGGAGCCGCAGCCAGGGAGCCAGCCAGCGCCGCCCAGUGCCGAGUGCGCAGCGGCCACUCACGGAAACAGCCGAGCUCGGCCCGGAGCCGCUCGAGAGGCCCCGCCCCCACGCUGGCGGCGGAACCUGCCGAAGGCUUUCGGCCUCUUCCGGGAGCAGCAAAGGCAUGGAUCGCGGAAGACAGGUGUAGGCGGGUUGAGACCCGCUCUGCUGGAGCGGUCCAAACCUCAAUACGGCGAGCUGAGGCUUCAAACGCCGGCUGAGGAAAUUUGGAGGAAGCGGGGUUUGAGUGCGGCCAGAUCGGGGGAUUCCCGGGGUGGCGGGGACUUGAUGGAAACCCCCGCGCGGUCUGAUCCUGCGGCGGAAGCAGACCGCCCGGGAACUUUGACAAGCCGCGAGGGUCAGGAGCCGUGCCGGCGAGCUGGAAGGGCAGGCGGACGCCGGCCACCAGCAAGGGGAAUCUGCCGAGAACUGUCUAAAGGGCCCCAGGUGGUUCUUUGCCGGAAUGAAAGCUACCUGACACGUGGCAUGUGAGAUUCUGCUUGGCUGCCUGUACAGCCAGAGCCCUGCGGGGAGGAAAACCAUAGGACACAGAAGAGGCUGAUUUGGAGCAGAGAGAGCAUCCAGAUGUGGGGGUGACAGAUGGAAUCGGCAGGGAAGGAUUUGUUCUCGGGAUCCUUAAGGCUCUAUUGGCUGUGACAGUUUCUCAGACUUUUCUCCUUCGAUGGACCUGAGAGUUUAAAGAAGACUGUCAUUGUGGAAGGCCUGUCCUUCAUUACAAUUUGUCCUCGGCAUAUUGUCCACUCACUCACAGUAACCCUGUGAUGGAAACACAGUUUGAGACGGCUAGUCUUAAUUGUCAACUUGACAAAGAGACUCAAUGAAGAUUGACCUGUGGACAUGUCUAUGGGGAAUUGUCUUAAUAACGCCAAUUGAUGUGUGAAGACCCAGCCCUGUAUAGGCCGCACUGUUCCCUAGGGGAUCCUAAACUGUGUAAGAAUGGAGAAAUGGAGCUGAGCACAAGCAAAUAAGCAACUAUAUUGCCCUUGGUGCUCUCCCAUGGGAGGAUCUGCUUCCUACACAUCUCCUUGGCUGCCAGCCCUUCUGGUCCUGUUGAUAAGCAAUUCCAGUUCCAGGAACUCCUGAGUCUGUUUGCUGCCUUAGGACAGAUGAUUGAUAGGGAAGGACAGCUGUCCUAUGGAGCCACCUGAAGCCCCUACUCCACAGACUCUUAGCUUCUGGCGAUGCUGCUAUUUUCCUGUUCCUGCCCUGAUUCCCUCAGUGAUGGACUGUAAAGUAUAAGCUGAAAUAAAC